RNAcentral lists this non-coding RNA (384 nucleotides) under Pongo abelii (Sumatran orangutan). The record is from RNAcentral. Lineage: Eukaryota; Metazoa; Chordata; Mammalia; Primates; Hominidae.
AUUUUAUAGGCUGAUGGUAUGAAACUAUGGCCCAGAGAAGCAAAGCAGCUUGUCCAAGGUCAUAUAGCCAGCUAAUCACAGGACCAGGCUAGGAAGAGUUUCACAACUCAGGCCAGUGCUGCUUCUAAUCCGUUUAUGUAUCUACUGAGUGAUUCAGAACCAAAGCCAGUAAAUCCUUUAUGAGGUAACAAAGGACAGAUAUGAGGCACCUCAAAGUGGCAUGAAGAGGAAGUCCUCACAAGAUCUGGAGCCAGCCCCUAAAGAGACUUCAAUAACAGAAAAGUAAAAAUGGUCCAUAAAAGGAAAAAGAUCAAUUAUCAAAUGGUAAUGUAACUGUCCAAAUAGUUGAGAGUCACACAAACAUAAAUUCAAAACAAAUAAUUC